CCCUUAGAUGUUCUGGGCCGCACGCGCGCUACACUGACUGGUGCAACAAGUGUCUGACCUUGGCUCGAGAGGCCUGGGCAACCUUUGAACGCCAGUCGUGCUGGGGAUAGAUUCUUGCAAUUAUUAAUCUUCAACGAGGAAUUCCUAGUAAACGCAAGUCAUCAGCUUGCAUUGAUUACGUCCCUGCCCUUUGUACACACCGCCCGUCGCACCUACCGAUUGAGUGAUCCGGUGAAUAAUUCGGACUGCAGCAGUGUUCAGUUCCUGAACGUUGCAGCGGAAAGUUUAGUGAACCUUAUCACUUAGAGGAAGGAGAAGUCGUAACA
This 326-nucleotide ribosomal RNA is filed under the name uncultured eukaryote. RNAcentral's name for it is "partial 18S ribosomal RNA". It matches the Rfam family "Eukaryotic small subunit ribosomal RNA", at positions 1470 to 1796 of the family's 1831-position model. The record is from RNAcentral.